This 24-nucleotide transfer RNA is filed under the name Allium koelzii. Its description in RNAcentral is "partial tRNA-Phe". Lineage: Eukaryota; Viridiplantae; Streptophyta; Magnoliopsida; Asparagales; Amaryllidaceae. The record is from RNAcentral.
UUGGGAUAGCUCAUUUGGUAGAGC